Molecule: ribosomal RNA, 381 nt
Filed under: uncultured archaeon
Lineage: Archaea
Description: bacterial SSU rRNA
Rfam family: Archaeal small subunit ribosomal RNA
Source: RNAcentral
UAACACCAGAGUCACGAGUGGCAAUCGCUAUUAUUGGGCCUAAAGGGUUCGUAGCCGAUUCAAUAAAUCUUUUGUGAAAUUGUUGGACUUAAUCUAACGGUGUGCAAAAGAGACUGUUGAGUUUGAGACCAGGAAGAGGCAGGAGUAUUCUAAGGGGAGUGGUAAAAUAUUAUAAUCCUUAGAGGACUACCAAUGGCGAAGGCACCUGUCUAGAAUGGGUCUGACGGUGAGGAACGAAGGCUAGGGGAGCGAUCCGGAUUAGAUACCCGAGUAGUCCUAGCUGUAAACGCUGUGAACUAUGUGGCGCGUAUUUUUCGUAAAUAUGCGGCGCCGUAGCGAAGGUGUUAAGUUCACCGCCUGGGAAGUACGGCCGCAAGACUG